AAGGUACCCCCUCCGUCCCAAAAUUCUUGUCUUAAAUUUUUCUAGAUAUGCAUGUAUCUAAAUACUAAAACGUGACUAGAUACAUUCAUAUAUAGACAAAUCCAAGACAAUAAUUUCGGGACAGAGGGAGUACUUA
This is a non-coding RNA of Hordeum vulgare subsp. vulgare (domesticated barley), 136 nucleotides long. The record is from Rfam. NCBI's taxonomy places the organism in Eukaryota, Viridiplantae, Streptophyta, Magnoliopsida, Poales, Poaceae.